Molecule: ribosomal RNA, 449 nt
Filed under: uncultured bacterium
Lineage: Bacteria
Description: partial 16S ribosomal RNA
Rfam family: Bacterial small subunit ribosomal RNA
Source: RNAcentral
CCUACGGGUGGCUGCAGUGGGGAAUUUUGGACAAUGGGCGCAAGCCUGAUCCAGCAAUGCCGCGUGCAGGAUGAAGGCCUUCGGGUUGUAAACUGCUUUUGUACGGAACGAAACGGUCUGCUCUAAUACAGUGGGCUAAUGACGGUACCGUAAGAAUAAGCACCGGCUAACUACGUGCCAGCAGCCGCGGUAAUACGUAGGGUGCGCCCGUGCAUCGGAAUUACGCGGCGGAUUACGUGAGCCGGCGGUUAAAUCCCCGGGCUCAACCUGGGACCUGCAUUUGUGACUGUAUAGCUAGAGUACGGCAGAGGGGGAUGGAAUUCCGCGUGUAGCAGUGAAAUGCGUAGAUAUGCGGAGGAACACCGAUGGCGAAGGCAAUCCCCUGGGCCUGUACUGACGCUCAUGCACGAAAGCGUGGGGAGCAAACAGGAUUAGAUACCCCAGUAGUC